GGCUUUCCCUUCGGGGACAGAGUGACAGGUGGUGCAUGGUUGUCGUCAGCUCGUGUCGUGAGAUGUUGGGUUAAGUCCCGCAACGAGCGCAACCCUUGAUCUUAGUUGCCAGCAUUUAGUUGGGCACUCUAAGGUGACUGCCGGUGACAAACCGGAGGAAGGUGGGGAUGACGUCAAAUCAUCAUGCCCCUUAUGACCUGGGCUACACACGUGCUACAAUGGACAGAACAAAGGGCUGCGANNCCGCAAGGUUNAGCCAAUCCCAUANNNNUGUUCUCAGUUCGGAUNGCAGUCUGCAACUCGACUGCGUGAAGCUGGAAUCGCUAGUAAUCGNNGAUCAGCAUGCCGCGGUGAAUACGUUCCCGGNNNUUGUACACACCGCCCGUCACACCACGAGAGUUUGUAACACCCGAAGNCGGUNA
RNAcentral lists this ribosomal RNA (422 nucleotides) under Bacillus pumilus. RNAcentral's name for it is "partial 16S ribosomal RNA". It matches the Rfam family "Bacterial small subunit ribosomal RNA", at positions 1010 to 1433 of the family's 1533-position model. Lineage: Bacteria; Bacillati; Bacillota; Bacilli; Caryophanales; Bacillaceae. The record is from RNAcentral.